GUGCUUGCUUGGGCAGCACAUACACUAAAAUUAGAACAAGACAGAGAAGAUCAGCAUGAUCCCUGUGCAAGGAUAACGCACAAAUUUGUGAAGCAUUCCAUAUUUUU
Urocitellus parryii (Arctic ground squirrel) is the source of this 107-nucleotide small nuclear RNA. Lineage: Eukaryota; Metazoa; Chordata; Mammalia; Rodentia; Sciuridae. The record is from Ensembl.